RNAcentral lists this transfer RNA (70 nucleotides) under Rucervus eldii (Eld's deer). RNAcentral describes it as "tRNA-Thr". RNAcentral also lists the same sequence under 1 other name. The record is from RNAcentral. Lineage: Eukaryota; Metazoa; Chordata; Mammalia; Artiodactyla; Cervidae.
GUCUUUGUAGUAUACUCAAUACACUGGUCUUGUAAACCAAAAAAGGAGAACAACCAACCUCCCUAAGACU